CCGAGUCUUAAUUGGGCGUUAAGUUGCAGGGUAUAGACCCGAAACCCGGUGAUCUAGCCAUGGGCAGGUUGAAGGUUGGGUAACACUAACUGGAGGACCGAACCGACUAAUGUUGAAAAAUUAGCGGAUGACCUGUGGCUGGGGGUGAAAGGCCAAUCAAACCGGGAGAUAGCUGGUUCUCCCCGAAAGCUAUUUAGGUAGCGCCUCGUGAAUUCAUCUCCGGGGGUAGAGCACUGUUUCGGCUAGGGGGCCAUCCCGGCUUACCAACCCGAUGCAAACUGCGAAUACCGGAGAAUGUUAUCACGGGAGACACACGGCGGGUGCUAACGUCCGUCGUGAAGAGGGAAACAACCCAGACCGCCAGCUAAGGUCCCAAAGUCAUGGUUAAGUGGGAAACGAUGUGGGAAGGCCCAGACAGCCAGGAUGUUGGCUUAGAAGCAGCCAUCAUUUAAAGAAAGCGUAAUAGCUCACUGGUCGAGUCGGCCUGCGCGGAAGAUGUAACGGGGCUAAACCAUGCACCGAAGCUGCGGCAGCGACACUGUGUGUUGUUGGGUAGGGGAGCGUUCUGUAAGCCUGUGAAGGUGGCCUGUGAGGGUUGCUGGAGGUAUCAGAAGUGCGAAUGCUGACAUAAGUAACGAUAAAGCGGGUGAAAAGCCCGCUCGCCGGAAGACCAAGGGUUCCUGUCCAACGUUAAUCGGGGCAGGGUGAGUCGACCCCUAAGGCGAGGCCGA
RNAcentral lists this ribosomal RNA (731 nucleotides) under Salmonella enterica subsp. enterica serovar Newport. RNAcentral describes it as "partial 23S ribosomal RNA". It matches the Rfam family "Bacterial large subunit ribosomal RNA", at positions 677 to 1405 of the family's 2925-position model. The record is from RNAcentral. Lineage: Bacteria; Pseudomonadati; Pseudomonadota; Gammaproteobacteria; Enterobacterales; Enterobacteriaceae.